CAAAGCGGAACACCCAGGGUCGAGUGGCAGUUUGAAAAGGGCCGUUCAAUAGUGCUGUUCUACUAUGAUUCGAAAUUCACAGGGACUGUCCAGUUUGGCCGAUGUACAUAGCAGAGGGGCAUUGCUGGCACGUGAUGGCAUAUAUAAGAUCGGUGGACGUGCAGAAUUCUCCCAGGGGUAAAGGAUAUUGACUUUUGAAGGAGAUGCUAAAAUGAGAAGCUAUGACCAAGUUUUGUCAUAGACCAGGCAGUGCCCUGAGUGAUCCAGAAGCUGGUGCUUCUUUAAAAUGCCUGCAAGGUGUGAUCAUCCAACAAUUCCCCUUUCAGGAAGACGAUUGCCAUAUUACACGCCUCCACCCUACUCCCUACACUGACGUAUCACCCUGUGUGGUGUUUGAGGAGGGAGGAACUGAAGAGAGACUCAGUAUUUGCUGGGCAGAAGAUGACCCACUCUUCAGUUGAUCCGCCUGAGACUGUGAAGUUGGAGAUGAAGAAGAUCUCUGUCUCAAGGAAAAAGAAGCACAAACAUUUGCAUCAGCACAAUCCCAUUUUACCACCUCUCAGUAAGAUCUGUAUCAAUCUGCUGCAUUGUAAGCUCUUUUGGGCAGAGACAUUGUAUGCUGCUCUUUAAAGCUCUGAUGACAUGAUAUAAAUUGGAAAGUAAAGAAUCAUUCUUUCUUGAUGUAAAUGCUAAGAUGAGAAGCAAUAGUUGGGGGAAGGUGUUGGUCGGCCAGUGUCCUGAGGAAUCUGGAAUUUGGUGCCUCCUUAGAAUGCCUGGAGCAACAUAAUCAUCUUGUAUUUACGUUUUCAGGUAGAUGGCAACUCUAUUCCAUGCUUUACCCUGAGCCUUUACUGACCCCUCCCCGCACAAAAGAAAGAUGUACCUGCACAGUAGAUCUCCUGUACUCACUGAAUGGAAGAGGGUCUGUUCUAAAUUAAAUAGUAGUAAACUCCUUUGCCAAAGCAGUAACUGAGGCUUGGUCUACACUGGGGGGGAUUGAGCUAAGUUACGCAACUUCAGCUACGUGACUAAUGUAGCUGAAGUCAACGUACUUAGACCUACUCACCGCAUGUCUUCACUGCGGUGAGUCGGCUGCUGUCGCUCCACUGUUGACUCUGCCUGCGCUUGUCGCGGUGGCGGAGUACAGGAGUCGAUGGGAGAGCGCUAGGGGGUCGAUUUAUCGCGUCUAGACUAGACGUGAUAAAUCGACCCCUGCUGGAUCGAUCACUGCCCGCUGAUCUGACAGGUAGUGUAAACAUACCCUGAGUCUUUGAAUCACUCUGCAAAUAUGUUAAGACUUUCCCCUUCCACUGAAGUGCAGUGAUAGGGGAGAAUAUGACAAUCACUAACUAGAUAGAAGCAGGGUGAAGUCAGGAUUGCGGGAAAGGUGUAUUUGCAUUGCAAGAGAAUGUUAACGUGAGGAGGAAUGGUUGGAGCUGGUUGUUGGUCAGAAAAUGCCCAGGGUGAGAGAGAAUGUAGUUCUUUCUUACAAUGACUGCAGAGAAUAUAUUGUUAUGUGUUUAUCUUUUUAGAAAUGUGGUAACCAUAUUGUCUACACCCAAAGCCCUGCACAAAC
This is an RNA transcript of Emys orbicularis (European pond turtle), 1576 nucleotides long. It is a transcript of the gene named junctional adhesion molecule A-like, with no coding region annotated. The record is from RefSeq and is a predicted model, not a curated record. NCBI's taxonomy places the organism in Eukaryota, Metazoa, Chordata, Testudines, Emydidae. The transcript has 3 exons.